Harmonia axyridis is the source of this 1235-nucleotide long non-coding RNA. RefSeq lists it as uncharacterized. The transcript is spliced from 3 exons. NCBI's taxonomy places the organism in Eukaryota, Metazoa, Arthropoda, Insecta, Coleoptera, Coccinellidae. The record is from RefSeq and is a predicted model, not a curated record.
CGGGGUGGUAAUAGUUUGCACCCAGUUCACAUUGGUACCUUCAUUCCUGUCGGGACUGCCAUUUGAAAUAUGAAAUUCGUAAUUGUCAUUUCUUUAAAGAUAGCCCUGAAGUUCGAUGCCCGUACGUUGACGUAUCUAUUCAUGAUUCGUAAUCGCGAUAUUUCAGCCAUAAUCUGCGAUGUCAGGUGAUUAUUAGAGAACAGUCAGUUAAAGAAAUCGUGCGAUUUUUAUUUCUCUGUAAGCUCAAAAAUCUAAGUGAAUGUGCUUCAAGUGAAAUGUUUAAAUGACAACGAAUUCUUUUUCACUUCAUCAAUCAAAUGUCUAAAAUUGAUUAUUGUACCUAUACUCAUAUUUUAGUUUUCGUCGAUUAUCAUGACAAAGAAAGCUCUUAAUAAUGAGGAGGUUCAAUUUGGUGAAUUAUGUUCAACUAGUGAUUUUCAACCAAAAAAAAAAUGUAAGCAUUUUAUUAGUAUCAAUUGGAACUGCUCACAUAACGAUUUUGUUAUUGGUCAUCUUUUUCACAGAACCUAUUCAAAAAUGACUGCAAAAUCACAAGUUGAUUUUUUUUUUCAAAUAGCCAAAUUAAUUCAAUUCUGUCAUUUGGACUCAUUUAUUGAACAUAUGAAAAUUUAAAUCAGGUAUGUGAAAAAUCGAUACGUACUUGUUUUUGACGUUUGUCAAAAAAAAAUGAACUUGCAAUGCCACAAACAAAUAAUCGAAAUAAAUGUUUUCUCUUAUUUCCAUCAAAAUCUUCGAUUGAAAUGUGUUUUUGUAUUCAGGAAAAUAAUACGUUUUAAAAAAAUGGCCAAAGACGUCGAUGAAGGAUUUUACCGACACCGACGUCUUCAUAAUGAAGAAUGUGAAUGUUACUAAAAAUUACCAACCGAAAAAUAUCUUGAACACUACCUACCGAAGAAUUUUAAUUUACCUUCGCAUGAUCAAAAUGCACAUGCCUAUAACAAAUGCCAUUAAAAUCGGAAUAGUUGAACGCGAAAUAUUGAAGUUGCAGCAAAUUCUCCAUUGCGUAUGAGAGAGUAUAUCCGAAGAAACUGAGAUUUUCAUGGAACCACAUACCUACUGCAGUCUUCACGAUACGAAUUUUCAUACCAAUGAAAGAUAGGUAUGUUAAAUUCCGAAAAUUUCACCUUUGCACAUAAUAAUAAUUUUAUUGAUUCUUUGGGACAUAAGGAAGUAUGUACUAUGUAUUGGACAAGUCAAAAUAAAAUGAAAAAUAA